CCAGCUGAAUUUAAGCAUAUUACUAAGAGGAGGAAAAGAAACUAAGAAGGAUUUCCUUAAUAGCGGCGAGGAAUGAGCGUA
Molecule: non-coding RNA, 81 nt
Filed under: Melipona quadrifasciata
Lineage: Eukaryota; Metazoa; Arthropoda; Insecta; Hymenoptera; Apidae
Description: Eukaryotic large subunit ribosomal RNA
Rfam family: Eukaryotic large subunit ribosomal RNA
Source: Rfam by way of RNAcentral